CAGCAGCCACGGUAAUACAGAGGGUGCGAGCGUUAAUCGGAUUUACUGGGCGUAAAGCGUGCGUAGGCGGCUUCUUAAGUCGGAUGUGAAAUCCCUGAGCUUAACUUAGGAAUUGCAUUCGAUACUGGGAAGCUAGAGUAUGGGAGAGGAUGGUAGAAUUCCAGGUGUAGCGGUGAAAUGCGUAGAGAUCUGGAGGAAUACCGAUGGCGUAGGCAGCCAUCUGGCCUAAUACUGACGCUGAGGUACGAAAGCAUGGGGAGCAAACAGGAUUAGAUACCCCAGUAGUCCCCGUCUCUUAUAC
RNAcentral lists this ribosomal RNA (301 nucleotides) under uncultured bacterium. RNAcentral describes it as "partial 16S ribosomal RNA". It matches the Rfam family "Bacterial small subunit ribosomal RNA", at positions 509 to 807 of the family's 1533-position model. The record is from RNAcentral.